Molecule: ribosomal RNA, 253 nt
Filed under: uncultured bacterium
Lineage: Bacteria
Description: partial 16S ribosomal RNA
Rfam family: Bacterial small subunit ribosomal RNA
Source: RNAcentral
UACGUAGGGGGCAAGCGUUGUCCGGAUUUAUUGGGCGUAAAGAGCGUGUAGGCGGUUUGGUAGGUCCAUUGUGAAAACUCGAGGCUCAACCUCGAGACGCCGGUGGAAACCAUCAGACUAGAGUCCGGAAGAGGAGAGUGGAAUUCCUGGUGUAGCGGUGAAAUGCGCAGAUAUCAGGAAGAACACCCGUGGCUAAGGCGGCUCUCUAGUACGGUACUGACGCUGAGACGCGAAAGCGUGGGGAGCGAACAGG